GAUGAACGCUGGCGGCGUGCCUAAUACAUGCAAGUCGAGCGAACAGACGAGGAGCUUGCUCCUCUGACGUUAGCGGCGGACGGGUGAGUAACACGUGGAUAACCUACCUAUAAGACUGGGAUAACUUCGGGAAACCGGAGCUAAUACCGGAUAAUAUAUUGAACCGCAUGGUUCAAUAGUGAAAGACGGUUUUGCUGUCACUUAUAGAUGGAUCCGCGCCGCAUUAGCUAGUUGGUAAGGUAACGGCUUACCAAGGCAACGAUGCGUAGCCGACCUGAGAGGGUGAUCGGCCACACUGGAACUGAGACACGGUCCAGACUCCUACGGGAGGCAGCAGUAGGGAAUCUUCCGCAAUGGGCGAAAGCCUGACGGAGCAACGGCGGGGGGGGGAUAAAGGUCUUCGGAGCUGAAAACUCUGUUAUUAGGGAAAAACAAAUUUGAAAGUAACAAUGCACGUCUUGACGGUACCUAAUCAGAAAGCCACGGCUAACUAAGUG
RNAcentral lists this ribosomal RNA (497 nucleotides) under uncultured bacterium. RNAcentral describes it as "partial 16S ribosomal RNA". It matches the Rfam family "Bacterial small subunit ribosomal RNA", at positions 28 to 507 of the family's 1533-position model. The record is from RNAcentral.